AUUGAACGCUGGCGGCAGGCCUAACACAUGCAAAGUCGAGCGUGAAAGUACUUCGGUAUGAGUAGAGCGGCGGACGGGUGAGUAACGCGUGAGAAUCUGGCUGUGGGUCGGGGACAACCACUGGAAACGGUGGCUAAUACCGGAUGAGCCGAAAGGUAAAGAUUUAUUGCCCACAGAUGAGCUCGCGUCUGAUUAGCUAGUUGGUAAGGUAAAAGCGUACCAAGGCGACGAUCAGUAGCUGGUCUGAGAGGAUGAGCAGCCACACUGGGACUGAGACACGGCCCAGACUCCUACGGGAGGC
RNAcentral lists this ribosomal RNA (301 nucleotides) under uncultured cyanobacterium. RNAcentral describes it as "bacterial SSU rRNA". It matches the Rfam family "Bacterial small subunit ribosomal RNA", at positions 30 to 349 of the family's 1533-position model. Lineage: Bacteria; Bacillati; Cyanobacteriota. The record is from RNAcentral.